UACGUAGGGUGCAAGCGUUGUCCGGAAUUAUUGGGCGUAAAGAGCUCGUAGGCGGUCUGUCGCGUCGGCUGUGAAAACUCGGGGCUCAACUCCGAGCUUGCAGUCGAUACGGGCAGGCUAGAGUUCGGCAGGGGAGACUGGAAUUCCUGGUGUAGCGGUGAAAUGCGCAGAUAUCAGGAAGAACACCCGUGGCUAAGGCGGCUCUCUAGUACGGUACUGACGCUGAGACGCGAAAGCGUGGGGAGCGAACAGG
RNAcentral lists this ribosomal RNA (253 nucleotides) under uncultured bacterium. RNAcentral describes it as "partial 16S ribosomal RNA". It matches the Rfam family "Bacterial small subunit ribosomal RNA", at positions 524 to 776 of the family's 1533-position model. The record is from RNAcentral.